RNAcentral lists this long non-coding RNA (1262 nucleotides) under Homo sapiens (human). RNAcentral describes it as "non-protein coding lnc-ADRA1D-1:1". The record is from RNAcentral. Lineage: Eukaryota; Metazoa; Chordata; Mammalia; Primates; Hominidae.
CCUGACUCAACUUAAAGGUUUAUACAGCCAGAAAGGAAAACAGAAGGGCAAGGAAGAGGAGUUGGCCAACAGGGAGCAGGAGUUUUCAUUGUUCAAAUAAGACUCUCUGCAAGAGCUGAAGGAGCCCUGACCUUGGGGUGAAUAAGUGAAGAGCAGAAUUGGUCCCACUCAUCUCUUUCACAUGGCCAUGGGUAUGCCAUGAAUCCAAGCAGGUCUUCUGGGACACAACUUCUCCAAGCAAUGAGCUCACCACUCCCUGAGCCUCCACUCUCUGGCUGAGCCCAGGGAUCCAUGCUCUGGCUGAGUCCAGGCCCCAUGAACCUGCACCCCCCACAGCUUCUUCUCCACAGCAGAGUCCAGUGGCCCCACUGAUAUUUGUCUUGGCUGCCCCAAGGACUAGCAGAGACGUUCCUCCCAAGUUGAUAGGGCCCUUUUAGACAACUUUGCAUAAGCACAGUUCUUCUAGCUGAGCUGCAAGCAACCAUAUGAACUGCUUCUCUAGCUCAAGAUAUGACAUGAGCGUCUUCUUUCAUAUUGUUUUUAACUGAUCAUUCAUGUCCUGCUAUGGGAAGUUUAGCAUCUCUCUCAAGGAUGCUCCUCCUCACCAAUUUUCUAAGAACUGCAGAGUCUGAAUCAGUUUACGGGGGCAUCACUGCCACUUCCAAAUGCAAAUAAAAGGGAGAAUUGGAGUGCCACCAAUUUCUGAGGCUACAACUUUUCAUUUUUGUCAGUGUCAAAGACUGGGCCAAUACAUCUUUGUCCCCUGCUAAUGAAUGUUCUUGGCCCAGAUGCAGUGACGGCCCUGUGUUUGAGAUACCAGGUUGCAGCUAUCUUGGUUUACAAGGCCGCACGCACUCAUCACAUCCCAAAGACUACUGUGAUAGAGGGCUCCCAGCCACACACAUGUCAGACCAGAGCAAGUUCUCCCUCACCAAGGUCCCUAGGUCUUCAUGCUUAACCCCAUCCUCGGCCUAGUUCAUUCCAACCCUGGAACCUCAUUGUCCUUCCCAACCCCUGGGCUUGGUUCACACCAACAGAUUUCCCUAACUCUGAAUAUCCAGGAACAGCAGUUGGAAUCUUUAUGCCUUCUCUCUCAGAGGAUCCUGAGGCCCAUAUGCAAAUAAAUUCUUCCACCCACCCAAAGAUCUGUAUACCAAGAGGAAGCUUCCCCUCAGUCUCGAAAAACAAAAGACUUAUGACAGACACUUUAUGGUUGUCUUCUAUGCUGUUCAUGAAAUAUUUCUGGUUCUUCCUUCUUUCUG